This 461-nucleotide ribosomal RNA is filed under the name uncultured bacterium. Its description in RNAcentral is "partial 16S ribosomal RNA". It matches the Rfam family "Bacterial small subunit ribosomal RNA", at positions 338 to 795 of the family's 1533-position model. The record is from RNAcentral.
CCUACGGGGGGCAGCAGUGAGGAAUAUUGGUCAAUGGGCUGACGCCUGAACCAGCCAAGUCGCGUGAGGGAAGACUGCCCUAUGGGUUGUAAACCUCUUUUGUCAGGGAGCAACGCCGGCUACGUGUAGCCGGACUGAGAGUACCUGAAGAAAAAGCAUCGGCUAACUCCGUGCCAGCAGCCGCGGUAAUACGGAGGUUCCGAGCGUUAUCCGGUUUUAUUGGGUUUAAAGGGGGCGUAAGUGGGUUGUUAAGUCAGUUGGGAAAGUUGGCGGCUCAACCGUAAAAUUGCAAUUGAUACUGUCAGCCUUGAGUGGAGUUGAGGUAGGCGGAAUGCGUGGUGUAGCGGUGAAAUGCUUAGAUAUCACGCAGAACUCCGAUUGCGAAGGCAGCAUACUAACCUGCCACUGACAUUGAUGCUCGAAAGUGUGGGUAUCAAACAGGAUUAGAUACCCUUGUAGUC